UUAAGAUUCAGCUCUAAAUUAUCUG
Molecule: non-coding RNA, 25 nt
Filed under: Mus musculus (house mouse)
Lineage: Eukaryota; Metazoa; Chordata; Mammalia; Rodentia; Muridae
Source: RNAcentral